AACAGGUCAUGUGUGAUGCAGU
RNAcentral lists this microRNA (22 nucleotides) under Ornithorhynchus anatinus (platypus). RNAcentral's name for it is "oan-miR-1421aa-5p". The record is from miRBase by way of RNAcentral. Lineage: Eukaryota; Metazoa; Chordata; Mammalia; Monotremata; Ornithorhynchidae.